Cavia porcellus (domestic guinea pig) is the source of this 1644-nucleotide long non-coding RNA. RefSeq lists it as uncharacterized. The transcript is spliced from 6 exons. Lineage: Eukaryota; Metazoa; Chordata; Mammalia; Rodentia; Caviidae. The record is from RefSeq and is a predicted model, not a curated record.
CAUCAUAAACAACCUGUGCCUCCUGACUCCCACUUUUCAUUAUUAAAAUGUGCUCUUAGCACUGGCCCAAAGGAGAGUUUUCCAGCUACUUCCUAGGCUUGCUGCUGGGGCGAUGGUAAUGUGUCACAGGACUGGCCUUACUUCCUGGCUGGCACCUGUAAUAGUACAAGAAAUGCUUUUCUUUUGGAAAUCUCUGACUCCAGAGUUUUGGUGAGUUCUUAAGAGUUCUCAACUUUUAUUAUGAAGAUGAAAUCUGGAUAAAGGGACAUUGCGUGCUGAGAAAAGAUUGUGGGAAGACACAAGAAAGCGCUCAUCUCCAAGCUGAGGAGAGAGCCCUCAGGAGAAACCAAACCUGAUACCGAUACCCUGAUGUUGGACUCAUCAGCUCCAGAACUGCAACAGUUUACAGCUUCGCUCUCGCACAUCUUAAUUGUCAUCAUCACUACUACUGUGUUUUGGGCCAUCAACUAAAAUAAGGGUUGCCUGACACAAGCCCUGUGAUACUGGGACUUUUUAUGAUAAGCAAGUUGCAGCUAAGUGACUAAGAGGAAGAGAACAGGAUCCGUGACUUUCUCUUGGCUGUCGACCUGCUGGUUUUGAAUCCCUUAUGAAUUUGGGGUCCCUUGCAUUCCUCACCCCUGUAAUGUCCCAAAUACUGGCUCUCGGUCUGUCCGACUGGAUGUCCUCUGGCUGCGCUACUGAGGGGCUCCCGUGUGUGCUGGCGCUCUGCUCCCAGCCAGUCCUGACAGGGAUUCUACCUCCUGUACCUCCACAUGCUGUGACAGCUUCCCAAGACGCCCACCCUAGGACCAGAGUUGCUAGGACCCACUACGCCAAAAAAGCAACCAGUAACAUGUGAAAUAGAUUGGUAUCUCAUUCAGAAGUCCUUGCCACAAUGUUUGUACACCCAUCUCGUAGCCAUGCGUACAGCUCUCCCAGAAAAAGUUUCCAGGACAAGGCAGUGCCUCAACUGUAGCAGUGAUUGCUCUGGGUUGCAGGACCACCACAUCCCAGCCCUGACAAUCAACAAUGUUUAAUUUUCAUCUCCAGCUUGAAAGAGAGAGAUCAACUAGACAGAAAAUCAGCAAUGAAAUACCAGACUGAACCAAACUGUGAACAAAAGGAGUUAAUAGGAAGCAGCCACGUCCCGAGGCCAUGCCACCACUGGGGGGGAGCUUCAGUGAACCACCCACCUGGGCCUCUCCAGCACUCCAGGAACCCCAAAUUGGAAGGACGCAGGUGCCUAGUCCGGUCACUACACCAAGGCACUGGCAGUCAGUGCAGGAAGCACCUGGGAUGCAGCAAUGGGCUGAUUGGGAGAAACACAGGGAAAUAUCAACAUGAAGGAGCAAAAUAGUCUCAGUCCUCGGCCCGGGUAAGUUCAAGAGACACAGAUACAGUAGAAAUCAUAAGUCACACACCUGAAAUUUCUGAAAAGAUAACUACUGAAGUAAAAAGCAAUUUGACUCUUAAUAAGUGUUUCACUUUACAUACCUAUGUCUGAUGGUCUGGACAGCUAUUCUGAAGAGGCAUUAUGGUAACCAUUGUUAAUUUCCUAUUAUCUUUAAGUCCUGCAUAAUUUUCAUUGUUUGGUCAAUCUCGUUUUAUGAAGUCUGAUGGUAUGGGCAACUAUUUUGAAGUUAA